AACGAACGCUGGCGGCAUGCCUAACACAUGCAAGUCGAACGAGACCUUCGGGUCUAGUGGCGCACGGGUGCGUAACGCGUGGGAACCUGCCCUUAGGUUCGGAAUAACUCCCCGAAAGGGGUGCUAAUACCGGAUAAUGUCUUCGGACCAAAGAUUUAUCGCCUUUGGAUGGGCCCGCGUUGGAUUAGCUAGUUGGUAGGGUAAAAGCCUACCAAGGCGACGAUCCAUAGCUGGUCUGAGAGGAUGAUCAGCCACACUGGGACUGAGACACGGCCCAGACUCCUACGGGAGGCAGCAGUGGGGAAUAUUGGACCAUGGGCGAAAGCCUGAUCCAGCAAUGCCGCGUGAGUGAUGAAAGCCUUAGGGUUGUAAAGCUCUUUUAACCGGGAUGAUAAUGACAGUACCGGGAGAAUAAGCUCCGGCUAACUCCGUG
This 433-nucleotide ribosomal RNA is filed under the name uncultured bacterium. Its description in RNAcentral is "partial 16S ribosomal RNA". It matches the Rfam family "Bacterial small subunit ribosomal RNA", at positions 29 to 507 of the family's 1533-position model. The record is from RNAcentral.